This 792-nucleotide long non-coding RNA is filed under the name Physcomitrium patens. RNAcentral describes it as "long non-coding RNA (PPAT_LNC004040)". The record is from RNAcentral. Lineage: Eukaryota; Viridiplantae; Streptophyta; Bryopsida; Funariales; Funariaceae.
GUAUGUAGUGAUUUUGUAAGAGCUUUGCAAAAUCAAAGUUUUUUUGGGUGAUUUUGGAAUUAGUGAAAUAAGAAAAAUAUUACAUUUUGGAGAAUUUUGUAAGUUUGGUAGUAGAUCUACAAUUCAGAUUUUGAAGACUUAUGUAAGUAGUUGUCUAAAGUAUAUGUGAUAACUUUGAGCUUCAUCAAAUAAUUGAGUAAAAGAUUAUUGAAUUUCAAGUAGGUUGAGAUCUUGGAAAUUAGAUUUUAAUGGGCAUUUAAGAUAUUCAAGAUCUUCACCGAUCUACUAAUUAGAUUGGAGUAAAAUUUAUGUGUGAGAGUAUAAGACUUAAUUUGCUAUAUAUACGUGAAAUUUAAGAACAAUUGAAUAGUUUGGAAAGGAGAUAAUGGUGUUGGAAGUUCAAUGUUUAGAUUGGAGUAGGAGGCCAUCCGAUACUCGAGUAGUUUUUAGGAUUUUUCUUCCAGUUGGUAAGUGCAAAUACCUUCAAAUUUUGUGUAUUUGUUGCCAACUUAAUUGUUGAAAAAUAUAUAAAAUUUUAGGCAAGAUCAAUGAUUUAAUUGAUAAAUAUUGAGAUUUUAAAUUAUGCUAGGAUUAGAUUGAGUUGAUUAGGUUUUGGAUAGGAUUUGAUUUAGGAUUAAAUUUGGAUUAGGAUUUAAGAUUUGGUUAGGAUUUAGAUUUGGAGUAGAAUUUAGAAUUUGAUUUAAGAUUUACUUAAGAUUUAGAGUUGAUGGUUUUUUUAGGAUUUAAGAUUUAAGAUAUGUUUAAGAUUUAGAAUUUAAGUUUUGGUAUAGG